GCACCAUGGUGGCUCCUGAAGCUCUGCUGCCCCUUUAGUUUGAUCUUCCACCACCCAGCACCCUUUCCAGUAGGGGAGGACAAAAAGGAGAAGUUAAGAGAAGGGAAGAGAGCAAACAGGAAUACAACCUGACACAAGACAUCCCCAGUGGAAAAGGCUGGACAAGGUGCCAAGUUUUCAGUAUGGAAUUAUGGAAUGGAUCCUACUCUGACCUCCACUAUUUAGGAAUUAUAGUUAAUUCCUGACCCUCCACUAAAGUCAGAAGCUUUUGAUCCUCACCACCAAGCCUGUGCAUCGCUAUAAAUAAAAGAAGGGAUGCUAUAAAUAAAAUAAAGGACGAUGGA
Lonchura striata (white-rumped munia) is the source of this 344-nucleotide non-coding RNA. The record is from RefSeq and is a predicted model, not a curated record. Lineage: Eukaryota; Metazoa; Chordata; Aves; Passeriformes; Estrildidae.